AGAGUUUGAUCAUGGCUCAGAGCGAACGCUGGCGGCAGGCUUAACACAUGCAAGUCGAGCGGGUGUAGCAAUACAUCAGCGGCAGACGGGUGAGUAACGCGUGGGAACGUACCUUUUGGUUCGGAACAACCCAGGGAAACUUGGGCUAAUACCGGAUAAGCCCUUACGGGGAAAGAUUUAUCGCCGAAAGAUCGGCCCGCGUCUGAUUAGCUAGUUGGUGAGGUAAUGGCUCACCAAGGCGACGAUCAGUAGCUGGUCUGAGAGGAUGAUCAGCCACAUUGGGACUGAGACACGGCCCAAACUCCUACGGGAGGCAGCAGUGGGGAAUAUUGGACAAUGGGGGCAACCCUGAUCCAGCCAUGCCGCGUGAGUGAUGAAGGCCCUAGGGUUGUAAAGCUCUUUUGUGCGGGAAGAUAAUGACGGUACCGCAAGAAUAAGCCCCGGCUAACUUCGUGCCAGCAGCCGCGGUAAUACGAAGGGGGCUAGCGUUGCUCGGAAUCACUGGGCGUAAAGGGUGCGUAGGCGGGUCUUUAAGUCAGGGGUGAAAUCCUGGAGCUCAACUCCAGAACUGCCUUUGAUACUGAGGAUCUUGAGUCCGGGAGAGGUGAGUGGAACUGCGAGUGUAGAGGUGAAAUUCGUAGAUAUUCGCAAGAACACCAGUGGCGAAGGCGGCUCACUGGCCCGGUACUGACGCUGAGGCACGAAAGCGUGGGGAGCAAACAGGAUUAGAUACCCUAGUAGUCC
Molecule: ribosomal RNA, 744 nt
Filed under: uncultured bacterium
Lineage: Bacteria
Description: bacterial SSU rRNA
Rfam family: Bacterial small subunit ribosomal RNA
Source: RNAcentral